Molecule: transfer RNA, 74 nt
Filed under: Halobacteriales archaeon
Lineage: Archaea; Methanobacteriati; Methanobacteriota; Halobacteria; Halobacteriales
Description: tRNA-Thr
Rfam family: tRNA
About the family: Transfer RNA (tRNA) molecules are approximately 80 nucleotides in length. Their secondary structure includes four short double-helical elements and three loops (D, anti-codon, and T loops).
Source: RNAcentral
GCUUCAGUAACUCAGCAGGCCAGAGUGCUGGUUUUGUAAACCAGAUGUCGGGGGUUCGAUUCCCUCCUGAAGCU